RNAcentral lists this ribosomal RNA (486 nucleotides) under uncultured bacterium. RNAcentral's name for it is "partial 16S ribosomal RNA". It matches the Rfam family "Bacterial small subunit ribosomal RNA", at positions 28 to 507 of the family's 1533-position model. The record is from RNAcentral.
GAUGAACGCUGGCGGCGUGCCUAAUACAUGCAAGUCGAACGCUGGAGCUCUAGCUUGCUAGAUCGAAGGAGUGGCGAACGGGUGAGUAAUACAUAAGCAACCUACCCACGAAGACUGGGAUAAUCUCUGGAAACGGGGACUAAUACCGGAUAGGUAAUCGGAAGGCAUCUUCUGGUUAUUAAAGGUUACAAACACUGGUGGAUGGGCUUAUGGCGCAUUAGUUAGUUGGUGAGGUAACGGCCCACCAAGACGAUGAUGCGUAGCCGGCCUGAGAGGGUGAACGGCCACAUUGGGACUGAGACACGGCCCAGACUCCUACGGGAGGCAGCAGUAGGGAAUUUUCGGCAAUGGGGGCAACCCUGACCGAGCAACGCCGCGUGAGUGAAGACGGCCUUCGGGUUGUAAAGCUCUGUUGUAAGGGAAGAACGGUAGAUAGAGAAUAUCUAAGUGACGGUACCUUACCAGAAAGCCACGGCUAACUACGUG